RNAcentral lists this ribosomal RNA (254 nucleotides) under uncultured bacterium. RNAcentral's name for it is "partial 16S ribosomal RNA". It matches the Rfam family "Bacterial small subunit ribosomal RNA", at positions 524 to 776 of the family's 1533-position model. The record is from RNAcentral.
UACGUAGGGUGCGAGCGUUGUCCGGAAUUAUUGGGCGUAAAGAGCUCGUAGGCGGCUUGUCGCGUCGACUGUGAAAACCCGUGGCUCAACCAUGUGGUCUGCAGUCGAUACGGGCAGGCUAGAAUUCGGUAGGGGAGACUGGAAUUCCUGGUGUAGCGGUGAAAUGCGCAGAUAUCAGGAGGAACACCGGUGGCGAAGGCGGGUCUCUGGGCCGAUAUUGACGCUGAGGAGCGAAAGCGUGGGGAGCGAACAGG